This 496-nucleotide ribosomal RNA is filed under the name uncultured bacterium. Its description in RNAcentral is "partial 16S ribosomal RNA". It matches the Rfam family "Bacterial small subunit ribosomal RNA", at positions 29 to 507 of the family's 1533-position model. The record is from RNAcentral.
AUGAACGCUGGCGGCGUGCCUCAUACAUGCAAGUCGAGCGAACAGACGAGGAGCUUGCUCCUCUGACGUUAGCGGCGGACGGGUGAGUAACACGUGGAUAACCUACCUAUAAGACUGGGAUAACUUCGGGAAACCGGAGCUAAUACCGGAUAAUAUAUUGAACCGCAUGGUUCAAUAGUGAAAGACGGUUUUGCUGUCACUUAUAGAUGGAUCCGCGCCGCAUUAGCUAGUUGGUAAGGUAACGGCUUACCAAGGCGACGAUGCGUAGCCGACCUGAGAGGGUGAUCGGCCACACUGGAACUGAGACACGGUCCAGACUCCUACGGGAGGCAGCAGUAGGGAAUCUUCCGCAAUGGGCGAAAGCCUGACGGAGCAACGCCGCGUGAGUGACGAAGGUCUUCGGAUCGUAAAACUCUGUUAUUAGGGAAGAACAAAUGUGUAAGUAACUAUGCACGUCUUGACGGUACCUAAUCAGAAAGCCACGGCUAACUACGUG